CAAAAAACAUCAUAGACAAAUUGGUGGAGUCAGUGUCAUUGGUGUGGGUGACCUACUCAAGCCUUAUCAACAUUGUACUUGUUAAACAUCUCUGUUAAAGCAUCACCACCAGGACUGCUGAAGCUUUAGGUGCUCCACCUUCCCAGGGGGGAUUGUUGUACUACUAAUAGCUGUAAAGAACAGAGGUGCAGAAAAGAAGAUGUUGUGGGGCGCUGUGAUGUGGCAUGUGAGCAGCUUUGGGAUCCUGCCGUUAUCACUUGGAUUGAUGAGCAGGAGGCACACAGGAUUACAGCUAUUGCCGUAACCAGAUGGGUCAUGCUGAUAAUUCAGGACAGCAGUUACAUACAUAAAUAGCCUGGUGAACCUCCAGCUUUGUUGGAAAUGUGUGACAGCUAAGAGCUCACUCCUGACUAUUGGAUGCAUGGCUGGGAAGACUCUAUCAGAGUGUGAAAAUACUUGG
RNAcentral lists this long non-coding RNA (460 nucleotides) under Parus major (Great Tit). RNAcentral's name for it is "lncRNA (ENSPMJG00000009316.1)". The record is from RNAcentral. Lineage: Eukaryota; Metazoa; Chordata; Aves; Passeriformes; Paridae.